RNAcentral lists this non-coding RNA (19 nucleotides) under Mus musculus (house mouse). Lineage: Eukaryota; Metazoa; Chordata; Mammalia; Rodentia; Muridae. The record is from RNAcentral.
UGCAGUGGUCCUGCUGUGA